GAAUGGCAAGGGUGGAGAUUUCAGCUGAAGUUUUCCCUCUAUCCCAAGUUUAAAAAAGGAAAGAAAACCCAAACCACCACCAAGCUACUUUUGCAAACGUCCAGAAAAUGCUAACUACAAACUUAGCUUUUUUUUGGCAUCUACAUCUGAUGAUAUUCCUUCCGCAUACAAAACCCAGGGACGCUGCCAGGGAAUGCACACUGCUACCUUCACAUGGUGUAGUGCAGUGGCCCUCAGCAUUCCAAGCAGCAUUCAGGCAUCAUUCCCAAAUCAAUGCAUUACUGCACAUUGCUCACACUGCAAGGAGUUGCUGCAGGUGACCCCCAGGAUGUAAUAAAUGCACAAAACACAGCAAGGUGGAAUUUAUUUUGGUUUUAAUCCAACAAAUGAAGAAGGUCUUGACAAUGUAAAAUACCAUCGUACUGCCAGUGUUGUAGAAUUGUACAUAAAAACAAUUAUUGUCUGUAGAUGUAAAAAUAGCAGGUUUUUCUUUCCGUAAUACAGUAAAACACAUUAUAGGAACCAUUUAACAUUAAGUAGAAACCUCUUAAACAAUUGAGGCAUUUAACCUAAGUGUUUCUCCAAACGUAUUAAAUAAAACACAGUUGAUACUCACUCUAAACACCUUCCCUCCAUCUCCUCCGCUCUCCUCCCUAAUUAAACUGAUUAGAAAAAAUAGUAGUCUCAUUUUCUGUUUUGAAUUCCUUCACAACCGUUUAGAUUAUCCCUUUAUUUGAAGUACAGUCACACAGCCCUGCACAAUACAGUACUGUACCUUAACUAAUUCCUUUCCCAUUGCUAUGUAAUUUUGGAGUAGGUAUUUAAGAUUAAUUUGGAAGGCGAGAAGAGGCCUAAGGAAGUCUGCAGGAGGGCAAUUUAAUUUUGAAUGCCAAGUAUUUACACAAACGUUAUUCUAUUGUAAUUACAGCGUAAAACUUGCAACAAAGCUGAAAAGUGAGUGUAUUUAACAAAGGCUCCCAAUGAAAGGAAGGGAAGAAAAACAGAUUAGAAAAUAAAUAAUCUAAAGUUCUUCGUGGUAGAAACGUUCAUCGUGAAGCUGCCUGCCAUAAUCCGUGGCUUCGCUGUUAAGAAACAAAUCCUGGUUCUUAAGAACUUCUGCCUCAGAAAGCUUUUUAUCAUCAUUCAGAUCCAUCUCUUCAAUCAGGUGAAGAGCCUCCUCUUGUGCAAUACCCUGGUUAUUAGGUACUAUCCAGGACAACAGCUCUUGAGGGUUGAGUUUCCCAUCAUUAUCCUUGUCAUAGUCAUUCACAAAUCGAUCCUUCUCAACAAGUAUCCAUUCUGGAUCUUCCUUGGCAGUUGGGUCUCUUCUGUAAUCACCAAGGAAUUCUUCCAGGCUCACAAAUCCAUCACCAUCUUUAUCAUGUUCUUCUAAAGCCUCCUCAAUGACAAAGUCCGUCAUAUACUCCACUUCUUCGGGAUGUUCAAAGGCAAUAAAUUCAUCCACAUUUAGAUCAGGAUCAUCAUCCCUAUUAGCUUUUUCAAAACGCUUCUUCUCCUUUAAAUGAAGCUGCCGAAAUGAUUCUUCUUCUUGAUCCUCCAGGACAGUGUUCUCAUCAAAAUCAAUUACACGAUCGUACAUUUGUAAGUUGUACUCCUUCCAAGACACCAAUCCAUCACCAUUUUUGUCAUAGUCGUGGAAGUGCUGCUUAGCUUCUUGUGUAACGUAGUGUUUGAAUGACUGCUGUAUCCAGGAGCUCAGCUCAUCCUUGCUGAGGAGGCCGUCGUUGUCCGCGUCGAUCCUCCGCACGAUGGCCUUCAGCCGCCGCUGCUGCUCUUCCGGGCUGAGCCGCGCGUACUCCUCCGCCUCCUCCUGCCCUCCGAGCAGCGCCUCCCGGUCAUAAUCGGCGCGGUGCUGCCCGUACGCCGAGCCCAGCGCCGCCAGGACCAGGGCCAGGCCCAGCGCCAGCCGCGGCCGCCGCCGCAUCGCGCCGCCGAGGAGGGGAGCGCGCCGAGGGGCGGAGAAAGGGGCGCGGCGGGGGUCCGCAACGCCGCCUGCGCGCGGCUCGGGCCGGGAGGGCCGCGUGCUCCCCCUCGUGCCCAGCGCUCCCGUUGUGCCGUGCUGGGGGUGGCGUCCCGCCCGGGGCUCCGCUUCAGACGGCGGGGAGUUCCGAACGUCCGGGACCGAAAUGGUGCGCCGCGGUACAUCUGCGGCGUGACGGCUCCGUCAGAACGGAGCAGAGCUCUCCCGUGCGGGACGGCGAUCCCAACCGGCGCUGCGGAGCGCGGGUAGCGCUGUGAGAGCGAGCGGGGUGCGGCGGUACGGCUGUACGGCACGCCGAGUGGAAAAGGGGCUGCAAAGCGAGCGGGGCCCCGUCUGCCGCUCAUCAGAGCUGAAAACGUGCCCGGCAUUGGGCCCUCGGAGGUCCAUUUAUCACUGACAGUGGUUAACUGGGGUUUGCCUGAGGCUUUCGUUGGGUUUGACGCUUCUCCCCGGGAGAAGAGCGAGUUUCUGUCACGGCUCCCGGCGCGGAUCGUCCUGCAGCAUUCCAGGCUCUGCAGACACGACAGACGUAUUUUUCUACCCCUGCGCGCAGCGCAGCCGUUAGUGGCUGAAGGAAGAGGAGCGCUCCGUGCCCCGCUCUCCCUCUGAGGCAGCACGGCGCCGCCCGCCCGAGCUUUCCCCACAACGAACGGGGCGCCGCGCUCCGGAACGCGCCUCAGGGCUCCGCAGCGCCCCCC
Molecule: long non-coding RNA, 2700 nt
Filed under: Gallus gallus (chicken)
Lineage: Eukaryota; Metazoa; Chordata; Aves; Galliformes; Phasianidae
Source: RNAcentral